AGCAGUGCCUGAGGAAAGACAUUGGAAGUUGUUCUCUGGUCUCCACACACACGUACCUGUGAGCCUCUAUACAUGCACACACAUGCAUGCAUACAAGUCACUUGGCACAAUUUCACAAUGGUGGUGAUUAGGUCUGUGGGGCACGGAGGGGUUUUAGGCAACCAAAGCUUAGAACAAAUCUUCAAGGAGAUCUAGCGCCCCAGGAAAAUGCCGGAAGUAUGUGGGGUGAUAAUGGACAAUGCUCAUCACUCGGGAGGAAGUAGCUCCACUUAUGAGUACAUCCUAUGGUCUCCUCGUGUGCACACACACACAUGCACUGUACACAUGAGAACACACGGAGCGACAGGGAGGCCAUUCCUCUGGGCUGUUGGAACUGGGGAACAGAAGCUCCCCGCUACUGGCUGCACCUGAGCAGAAGCUAGUGUUUUACAGGGAUGUGGUGGAGAAGGUUCUGGAAGGAGGCUGAGCAGAGACCUUUCCAACUCAGAGCCUCUGAUUUUCUUCCAUUUGGACUUUCAGGCAUUUGGAGUUCAGGAAUGCUCACUGAUGAAAUCACUACCCAAUCAGGGAAACUGUUUAAACAGCCGGCUUUCCAGCUUUCUAAAAAUAGGACUCAAUUUACAGAGUGGGGCAGAGAGAGCCGGACACUGCACAGCCCUGUGAUAGGCCAGGCACUGUGUCACUUAUUCCUACCAACCCUAGAUUCCAGCUGCCCAGGGAAUCCAGGCAUGAAGAAGUGGGGGGAUUGCUCAGGACCCGCGGUGGUAAGUGGCGAUUUGCGGAGCAGUGUCCUUGUCUGCAUGGCUGCAGAUGGCUCUGUACUACCUCCAUAUUCACAUUCAAGAUGGCAGAACGGUAAGGCCUGACUCCAUUUGGGUGUUUGCCAAGAACUUUAUGCCCUGCCUCUCUCUUCUUGUGUACCCCACAUUCUGGCAAGCUGGUGAACAUGUGCUCCCUCCAUCUGGGGGUAGCAGGAAGUAGAAACCUCACUCCCGCUCCACCCCUACCUCUACAUAGAUCUCAAACCCAUCCCUGUUUGUCCUCUAGAAAUCCAGGAACCCCUGUUAUGUGAGUAGAUACAUGGUUUUUGAAUCCUUUCUGUGACAUCAUCUGCCUUGACAUUUCAACCACAUUUUAGAUGGGGUUUGAUUCUAUCUUUCUAAGUGGCCACAAACCAAAGGAAAAUUAAUCGAUAGAGCUUUCUUGGCCCAGAAGGUACACAGAGAAUUUUUGUUCUUUGGCCUGUCAAGAAUGCAAUAGUCACAUGACCAUAUAGCUGCAAGAGAGUCAGGAACCAUAACCUCUACUGGGCUGCCAUGUCCUCUGUGGAAAUUCUAGGGCAGCUGCUAGAAGUUACAUCUACCAGAGGUAGUAGAUGAGAAAGGUUAUUAGGAUUAUGGGGGAAUAGACC
This 1411-nucleotide small RNA is filed under the name Rattus norvegicus (Norway rat). Its description in RNAcentral is "uncharacterized LOC102546527". Lineage: Eukaryota; Metazoa; Chordata; Mammalia; Rodentia; Muridae. The record is from RNAcentral.